GACGAACGCUGGCGGCGUGCUUAACACAUGCAAGUCGAACGGAAAGGCCCUGCUUUUGUGGGGUGCUCGAGUGGCGAACGGGUGAGUAACACGCGAGUAGCCUGCCCUUGACUUUGGGAUAACUUCAGGAAACUGGGGCUAAUACCGGAUAGGAGCUCCUGCUGCAUGGUGGGGGUUGGAAAGUUUCGGCGGUUGGGGAUGGACUCGCGGCUUAUCAGCUUGUUGGUGGGGUAGUGGCUUACCAAGGCUGUGACGGGUAGCCGGCCUGAGAGGGUGACCGGCCACAUUGGGACUGAGAUACGGAGCAGACUCCUACGGGAGGCAGCAGUGGGGAAUAUUGCACAAUGGGCGGAAGCCUGAUGCAGCAACGCCGCGUGCGGGAUGACGGCCUUCGGGUUGUAAACCGCUGUCGCCUGUGACGAAGCGUGAGUGACGGUAAUGGGUAAAGAAGCACCGGCUAACUACGUG
Molecule: ribosomal RNA, 468 nt
Filed under: uncultured bacterium
Lineage: Bacteria
Description: partial 16S ribosomal RNA
Rfam family: Bacterial small subunit ribosomal RNA
Source: RNAcentral